RNAcentral lists this ribosomal RNA (253 nucleotides) under uncultured prokaryote. RNAcentral's name for it is "partial 16S ribosomal RNA". It matches the Rfam family "Bacterial small subunit ribosomal RNA", at positions 524 to 776 of the family's 1533-position model. The record is from RNAcentral.
UACGUAGGGGGCAAGCGUUGUCCGGAGUUACUGGGCGUAAAGCGCCCGCAGGCGGUCGCGUCAGUUCGAGGUGACAGCUGUCGGCUUAACCGACAGAGGACCUUGAAGACGGCGUGACUUGAGGGCCAGAGAGGGACAUGGAACUCCGGGUGGAGUGGUGAAAUGCGUAGAGAUCCGGAAGAACACCAAAGGCGAAGGCAGUGUCCUGGCUGGCACCUGACGCUCGGGGGCGAAAGCGAGGGGAGCGAACGGG